Equus caballus (horse) is the source of this 2830-nucleotide long non-coding RNA. The record is from Ensembl. Lineage: Eukaryota; Metazoa; Chordata; Mammalia; Perissodactyla; Equidae.
CCAUCCCUGUUCUCCCACGGACCACGGGUGUCCACCGUUUCUGGGGUGGCCUUCUUGCACUGAUCCGAGCGCGCCAGGACGUGAAGUGUCCACACGUGCUGAUGAGCACAGACACACGUGGGCCUGGAAUUCCACCAUCUGAUGGCACAGAGUUUGGCGGAGCUCUCAGAGACGUGCUGUGCAAGCGCAGCUUUCCUGGAAGGGGGACCCCUGAGCCUUUGUGAGUGAAUGACCUCACGUGUUUGGGGUGCAUCCUCAACUCUAGGGUAUGGGAGGAAUGCGACCCCAAAGGAAAGGCCAGGGCAUGGCAGGUGGGGAAGGUGCUCAAAAAACACACAGGAGACGUAUGGAGACUGUAAGAGGCAGUGCGUUAACACUGUGUUCAUUGAUGCAGCCGGUGUUUACUGAGGACCUGCAGGUGCCAAGAGUCUAGAGAUACAGCCAUGAACACGACAGACAAGGGCCCUGCCCUCAUGGAGCUCCCAGUCUAGUUAGGAGACAACCGUAAGCAAUGAACCAACUCCUUAUCUCAACCGCUAAGGCCUUUUAUGAUCUGGUCCCUGGCCUUGUCUAACUCCUGUCACCCUCCCCUGGGCUGCGAAGCUCCAGUCACUUGGCUUUCUUUCUAUCUCUUGAACACACCAAACUCAUUUCCCACCUCAGGGCCUUUGCACAUGCUGUUUCCUCUGCCUGGAGCACCCUUUCCCAGGAUUUUCAGAUGACUCUCUCCUUCUCAACUCUCAGAUCUCAUCAACAAACAUCACCUCUGGGGCCAGCCCAGUGGCAGAGUGGUUAAGUUCAUGUGUUCCACUUUGGCGGCCCAGGGUUUCAGGGUUCAGAUCCCUGGUGUGGACCUAUACCCCGCUCAUCGAGCCAUGCUGCGGCGGCAUCCCACAUACAAAAUAGAGGAAGAUUGACACAGUUGUUAGCUCACUGACAAUCUUCCUCAAGCAAAAAGAGCAAGAUUGGCAACACAUAUUACUUCAGGGCCAAUCUUCCUCACCAAAAAAGAAACAGAAAAAAAAAGAAAAAAUCCAUCACCUCCUCAAAAGGCCUUCCCUGACCACCCCAUCUGAAUUUCCCUUCCUCUGUCGGUCACUUUCUAUCCCAUUGCCUUGUUUUACUUUCUUCUCACACUUAUUCCCAGCCUGGAUAAUUAUUUAUUGCUGGGUUCGGUGCCUUUCUUCUCCGUUUAAAUGUGAAUUCCUUGAGAGGAAAGCCCUUGUUUAGAUAAAGGAAACAAACAGAAAGUUAAUAAGUGAUGGGGACUUGGACGCGGCGAGCAGCUCGAUGGGCGAGAACAACGCGCUGACGGGUGCGGCCUGCUCAGCGGGAGGGGCGCGGAAAUCCUCCCCAAAGGCUUUAAACUGAAGGCCGCAGGGCAAGAAGGAGCCAGCCUAGGAAGAGGUGGGGGCUGGGGAGAAGGCUGGAGAUUGAGGAGCGGCACACGCAAGAGAAAACUCCGAGGUCACAAAAUUACUGCUGUGAUUCCGACCAUUGGGUCUUCAUUCCAGGCGUGCAGAAAGAGGAAGAGGGAAAGGCACAAGGCUCUGUGAGCUGAGUCAACUCCAGUUUUUAAGGAGCCUUCCUGGAAGAUGAACUCAACUACUUCCCGUACACUGCUGACCAGAAAUAGCCUGGCAACGGGAUCUGGAAGGGAAGCUGGGAAAUGUAGAUUUUUUUAGCUGGUUUAUUGCCACUGCUUCCGAAAAUCAAAGUCUACCCCCAGGUACAUAGUUGUGUAUUCUUCGUUGUGGGUUCUUCUAGUUGUGACAUGUGGGACGCCGCCUCAGCGUGGUCCGAUGAGCAGUGCCAUGUCCGCGCCCAGGAUUCGAACCAACGAAACACUGGGCCGCCUGCAGCGGAGCGCAUGAACCUAACCACUCGGCCACGGGGCCAGCCCCUCCUUUUUACCUUUUUGAUGUGGCUACUAGAAAAUGUUUACUUCCAUGUGUGGCUCGCAGUGUAUUUCUAUCGCAUGUCUCCGCUUUCCCUCACCCGUACUCGAGUCGGUUAAUAUGUCUGACUCCCUGUUCUGUAACAGGGCUACAUAAGGGCUGGAAUCCUAGUAGGAUUUAUAGCUACUAUUUAUUGAGCGCUUACUAUGUGCUAGGCAUUGUGCUGGAGUUUUUUCACCUUAAAAUUAAAAAAUAAUAAUAAUAAUUAUAGAUUCACAGGGAGUUUCAAAUAAAGGAUGGGGAGGUCUCAUGUACCCUCCACCCAGUUUCCCCCAGUGAAAACAUCUGGCAGAACCAUCGUUCAAUACCACAGCUAGGAACUGGCUUUGGUACAAUUGACCAAUGACUCAGAUUUCACUGGUUUUCAGUAUACUCAUUUGUGAGUAUGUGGAUAAUUCUGUGCAGUUUGCCCACAUGUAGAUUUGUGCAACCUCCAUUGCGAUCAGGAUACAGAACUGAUCUGUCACCAGAGGCUUCCUCCUGGUCCCCUUUUAUAGCUAACGCUCCCCUCUCCCCCGUGCCUAGCAACCACUAAUCUAUUCUCUAUUUUGUCAUUUUGAAAAUGUUAUAUAAAUAAAAUCAUAUAGUAUGCAAACUUUUGCAAUAGGCUUUUUUUCGCUCAUUUUGCAUGCGCCCUUGAGAUACGUCCAAGUUUUUCUAUCACUAAUGCAUUCCUCUCUAUUGCUGCAUGAUAUUCCGUCGUGUGGAUGGACCACAGGUUUUUUAAUCCAUCCUCCAAUGGAGGGACAUUUUGGUUGUUUCUAGUUUUGGGAGAUUAUGCAUAAAGCCACUGUAAGCAUUUGUGUACAGGUCUUUGUGGGAACAUAGGUUUUUAUUUCUCUGGAUAAAGGCCCAUGAGUGCAAUUGUGCAC